Molecule: ribosomal RNA, 275 nt
Filed under: uncultured bacterium
Lineage: Bacteria
Description: partial 16S ribosomal RNA
Rfam family: Bacterial small subunit ribosomal RNA
Source: RNAcentral
CCUACGGGUGGCUGCAGUCGAGAAUCUUCGGCAAUGGGCGCAAGCCUGACCGAGCGACGCCGCGUGCGGGAUGAAGGCCUUCGGGUUGUAAUCCGCUGUCGUAGGGGAAGAAAUGGUCAUGGGUACUCCCAUGGCUUUGACUGAUCCUAGGAGGAAGUGCAGGCUAACCUCGUGCCAGCAGCCGCGGUAAGACGAGGUGCACAAACGUUAUUCGGAUUUACUGGGCUUAAAGCGUGCGUAGGCGGCCUGGCAAGUUGGGUGUGAAAUCCCUCGGC